UGCCAGAAGAUGGUGCUUGCCGAGGUUCAUAUCAACUCCUUUGACCGUUGGGUUUGUGCUGGUGACCGGUUUUUGGCUGUUCUUUCCACAGCUUCUCAGGUGUAGAGCUGAUGUUAGAGCGUUUGAGGAGUACUCGGCUAUAAGCGCGUUCCUGAAGAAUGCUGGUCGUGCUUCCAUGUUUAGAUCUUUCAACACAUCAAGCAAUUGGUCGACACCAUAAAAUCAUUACUCAUUAAAUUAAAAUCUCACAAUUUUAGAUAUGAAUCCAUCAUUACUGAUUUAAAUUGAUGAUUGUUAUGAUAUGUUCUUGAUUUUGUUAGAUGGCAUAUAACUCCAGCGAUUUUUAGGUUACAGUCUUG
Molecule: unclassified non-coding RNA, 359 nt
Filed under: Hevea brasiliensis (rubber tree)
Lineage: Eukaryota; Viridiplantae; Streptophyta; Magnoliopsida; Malpighiales; Euphorbiaceae
Source: RNAcentral